This 469-nucleotide ribosomal RNA is filed under the name uncultured bacterium. RNAcentral describes it as "partial 16S ribosomal RNA". It matches the Rfam family "Bacterial small subunit ribosomal RNA", at positions 28 to 507 of the family's 1533-position model. The record is from RNAcentral.
GACGAACGCUGGCGGCGUGCUUAACACAUGCAAGUCGAACGGAAAGGCCCUGCUUGCAGGGUGCUCGAGUGGCGAACGGGUGAGUAACACGUGGGUGAUCUGCCCCUUACUUUGGGAUAAGCCUGGGAAACUGGGUCUAAUACUGGAUAGGACCAUGCUGUAGGUGGUGUGGUGGAAAGAUUAGUUUCGGUAAGGGAUGAGCUCGCGGCCUAUCAGCUUGUUGGUGGGGUAAUGGCCUACCAAGGCGUCGACGGGUAGCCGGCCUGAGAGGGUGGACGGCAACAUUGGGACUGAGAUACGGCGCAGAAUCCUACGGGAGGCAGCAGUGGGGAAUAUUGUACAAUGGGCGCAAGCCUGAUGCAGCGACGCCGCGUGGGGGGUGACGGCCUUCGGGUUGUAAACUCCUUUCAGCCAUGACGAAGCCCUUGUGGUGACGGUAGUGGUAGAAGAAGCACCGGCUAACUACGUG